Xiphias gladius (swordfish) is the source of this 4465-nucleotide RNA transcript. It is a transcript of the gene named tetraspanin 5a, with no coding region annotated. Lineage: Eukaryota; Metazoa; Chordata; Actinopteri; Istiophoriformes; Xiphiidae. The transcript is spliced from 11 exons. The record is from RefSeq and is a predicted model, not a curated record.
CGCAAUCCCCCCAGGGAGUAGCGGGGAAUUCUUAUCCUGCGGUUUGUUGCGCUAACAUCCGUUUCGGUUUUUUUUUAUAGCUGGGUGUGUGCGUGCGAGCUCCCGAACCGCUUUCAGCAUGGCCCUGAUGUGGGGGUGAAGCGGCGGUGUCGCGCAUUCGAAGCGGACAAAGUGAAAUGCAUCCCCGGAGCGCUGAACCUGUUCCCUCCCGCACACAAAGCCUGUGAAGCAGGCCGUGUUUUUCCUCGCACAGAGACACUGCGCCGAUGAUGCUCAAAACAUGUCGGGGAAUCAUUUCAAAGGACACGAAGUCAGCUGCUGCAUCAAAUACUUCAUUUUUGGAUUCAAUAUCCUGUUCUGGCUGCUGGGCAUGGCCUUAGUUGGAAUUGGAUUAUGGGCAUGGAGUGAGAAGGGGGUUCUGUCCAACAUCUCAUCCAUCACUGACCUGGGGGGUCUGGACCCAGUCUGGCUCUUCAUGGUGGUCGGAGGGGUCAUGUUUAUUCUGGGCUUUGCCGGAUGCAUUGGAGCGCUGCGAGAAAACACCUUUCUGCUUAAGUUUUUCUCUGUGUUUCUGGGAAUCAUCUUUUUCUUGGAGUUGACGACGGGAGUCCUGGCAUUUGUCUUUAAGGACUGGAUUAAAGACCAGCUCAACCUGUUCAUCAACAAUAACAUCCGGGCUUACCGAGACGACAUCGAUCUACAGAACCUCAUCGAUUUCACUCAGGAAUACUGGGAGUGCUGUGGUGCGUUUGGAGCAGAUGACUGGAACCUGAACAUCUAUUUUAACUGCACUGAUGGAAAUCCCAGUCGGGAAAAGUGUGGAGUUCCCUUCUCCUGCUGCACCAAAGACCCAGCGGAGGAUGUAAUAAACACACAGUGUGGAUACGACAUUCGAGCUAAACCAGACUCGGAGCAGAAGGACUACAUCAAUGUGAAAGGCUGUGUGCCGCAGUUUGAGAAGUGGCUCCAGGACAACCUCACCUUGGUGGCUGGGAUCUUCAUAGGAGUGGCACUGCUGCAGAUUUUUGGGAUUUGUUUGGCCCAAAACUUAGUGAGUGACAUCGAGGCUGUGCGGGCGAGCUGGGUGCCCCCCCCUCUCUCCAUGCGUCGACUCCCACCACCCUCCAGCAAGAAAGCAUCGGCUUACUACUCAUGAGACACACACAUGCACUCUAUGUGUGUUUGUAGCCGUUUCUUUACCUAAUGCUGAAACAGCAUUUAAACUUUAACAGCCAGUCUUUGAACACACCUCCUUGAGCAGAAUGUCAGGGAGGAUUCAGAAGACGUCACUGCUCACCUGCACCAUUUUGCUCACUGAACCAGCACCUUUUUUCAAGGCACUAAUAUGUGUGUGACUACUGUAAAAAGAGAACGUUGGAGAGGAUGGUUAAACAGCCACUACAUGCUGAUCGUCACAGUGCUCCAGUUUUGAUAGCUACGUCUAGAGAGUAGGAGUUUUGAUACAUCUUUUUGAUAUUAGAUCAGUAUUUUUCACUGUGGAAAUUAAGCUCCAUUGCUAAACCCGUCAUAUAGGACUGUGAAAUAGUGUAUAAAAGAGACUGAGGCGUCCUUCUUUCAAAGUUCAGUGCUUGCUUCACGAACCUUCCACCGCGUGUCCAGGACUGAAAGCACAGGAGCGGGAGAGUCACAGAAGUAGGGAAGCUAUCAAACUUCGGCUGGUUUCGGACUGAAAGCUGGAUCUCCUUUUUUCCCAAAAUAAUACUUUACGGAUGUUGGCACAGGACUUCUUCAGCUACCACUGUGUCUCGUCACUUUAUCUGCAGAGUUUACCGGACUUUCUGUUGUUGCGCUAACAGUGAAUUUUAAUUUCUGUUUCAGUGACUGUCAGUCUAGCAAUAAGCAUAUUUGUGCGUGCUGUGGUGAUGGUAUAGAUGAACUAAAUACUCUCCUAACACUAACUCAACCCGCAUUGAAGAGGAAGUGAGCACAAAUUACUUCAGCUAUUCAGCACAAUGGGAUGCUACUCAACUAACGGAAUAAACUACCACUAUGUAGCACCAUUGUGUGCCACAGAUUCUGAGCGUCAUGGUCGCAUUUCCGAUGGCGUGGCAUGAGUAUUGGAAACUGUCAAGUGCAGAGGGCUGACAGUGAAAGUCUGCUCAGAUUUCUGAUAUUCUGACCCCCCUUUUUAGACCAUUUUGUUUAAACAAAGUUCUUUUACAGCUGCUUGUGCUUAGACUGCAUUACACAGGUAAAAAUUUUGGCUUCUUUUGUUAAAAGAAUAGAUUUGGAUCCGGGUAGUCACAUGCCAUAUGUGCACUCACAGAGGGACUUUGUAGUGUAAUCCUUCCCAGCCUUUAAAUAAUAAUGACCUCCCUUUGAGAAUCUACCUUCCAAAGUUAUCUGAAGCUAAUAUGAGGCUUCAACGGUCUGAGUUAGCCAGAUCAAGCGCUUACCUUUGCCGUGGCAUUCAUUUUGUCCUGACGACAAAUGUACAUGCAGCCACCAGGACGUAUCCUGAUGCCACGGCUCAGCAGGUAAACACUGUCCAGGGAAAACCCAGAGAGAGAGAGAAUUUCGUACGAAAAAGACCAAAACAUUUGGGAUAACACAGUCGACGUGGCUAACUCAGACUGCUAAAGCGUACUCGAUGCAGUAGCAGCUUCAGCUGAACUCGUGGGUUCUGUCCCCCAUCUCUUACAAUGUAGUCGCUCUAUGAAGGAAUGGUUUCAAGGCUGUUUGAAGGUAUGGAGAGUAGGAAUGAUUCCAGCAGCCAGAGACUUUUAACGUGCAUAUAGCAUGUGAGUGUUGGGGAAAAAAAUCCAAAAAAGGUUUGUGAAAAAAUAAGUUUAUUUGGCACUGAAAAAGUGUGGUUUUGGUAUUUGGUGUGAAACCAAAAUUCCGAUGCUGUACUGGCACCAGUAUUAAAAAAAAACUGCGAGGGAUGCUCAGUCUUAAUCAUACCACAUUACGUAUGAAGAGGUCGUUGAGUUUCACCGGGCUAUUAUUACAGUCCUGAAGGUUUGGAAAGUGACUCUUAAUUCCGAUCUUUUUUAAAAAGUUUGUAGAUGAAGAAGUGUGUUCAAGUCCUAAUACACGAGUGACCACAAAAUGAAUGUUGCUGUACACCCUGUCCUUUCAUAUUGUGGUUAGUACUUUGCCAAGGAGUCAAUGUCUUUGCAGGACAUUUCAAAAACGUGCAGGUUUCAGCGAAGCCGGAUGGAACGUUUGAGCGUUAAGUGUUAACGUUGAGGUGAAGGACAUUUUAUCAUAUUGUGAGAUGGACGUUUUUGAACGUGUUCAAUAUUUUCCUCAUACAUUACUGCACUUGAAUGAAAACAAAUCUGGUACAUGUAUCAUAUGAUUGUCUUUCACUAUGUGUAUUUUGAGGCAGAUCUGAACAGUAUACACAAUAUUGAAUACACCAAAAUCUUUAUAUCCAGCCCAGAUAUCAAAUCUGGAAUUCCAAAAUAGUGUUUAGACAUUGUUUUUUUUUAAAUCAGUGUUUCUUCUGGUGGGUUAAAAUGGUUAUUUGCUCAAAGCAUGCAUCCCUUGUUUUGUUUGCUGCAAAGCAUUUACAGUGUUUUCUCAGUAAAGUAUGUUUCUUCAGUCAGUUCUGAUUGAAAUUGUGGGGUUCAGAUUGGAUACAUUCUGAAAAUGUAAGUGUUAAGCCACUUAAAAGGGAUCAAUACUGUUUUUGAUACUUAAUAUUUAUUGUACAUUUGGUUUGGUUUUAUAAUUUCCCUUUGUAUUGAACAGCUAAACAUUUAGUGCUACUGGAGCUUAAUUGUCACUCUACAGACUGAAUACUCUGAGUUCUACAGUCCUGCUGUAUAGGCCUCUCACUCAUCACUACCUGUUCCACUUCCACUGAGUGUUUUUAUGAUCACUGUAUUCUGAUGAGCCAAAGCAUUAAGACCACCUCAGCCUAAUAUACUGCUGGUGCUUGACUUGCCACCAAAACAGCUCCAACCUGCGAGGCGUCGACUCCAUCAGACCUCUGAAUGUCCCUGUGGCAUCUGGCACCAAGACGUUAGCGGCAGAUCCUUUAAGUCUCGUAAGUUGUGAGAUGGAGGCGUCACAGAUCAGACUUGGUCCAGCACAUCCCGCAAGACCGUGUCGACAGUUCGUGGUUUGUCCCUCCUCGGGACCACUGCUGACCAGGAGCACCCUGCAUGCAUUGCUCUUUUGGAGAUGGUCCCACCCAGUCGUCUGGUCCUAACGCUUUGGUCUUUGCUAGUCACUCGGGUCUUUCCACCUGCUCAUUUCUAACAGAUCCUACAAGUUGAUUACAAGAACCCACCGUUCACUCAGAGUCUAAUAUAUCCCAGACCUUUGCACCAUUGUUAGGAGAUAUUCAUAGUUAUUCCAUUAUCUCUGAGUGGUCAUAAUGUUUUGGUUCAUCAGUGCAUAUCCCACAUUGUAAUGUAACUACCUCCUCUCAUUUGCUUGUCUGAUGUCCUGUUCAAAUUGGGCUGAUUUUAAUAUCAAGUAAAAUUACUUA